Molecule: ribosomal RNA, 597 nt
Filed under: uncultured Alphaproteobacteria bacterium
Lineage: Bacteria; Pseudomonadati; Pseudomonadota; Alphaproteobacteria
Description: bacterial SSU rRNA
Rfam family: Bacterial small subunit ribosomal RNA
Source: RNAcentral
AGAGUUUGAUCCUGGCUCAGAACGAACGCUGGCGGCAUGCCUAACACAUGCAAGUCGAACGCUAUUUAUAGAGUGGCGCACGGGUGAGUAACGCGUGGGAACCUGCCUUUUUCUGCGGGAUAACGGUUGGAAACGACCGCUAAUACCGCAUACGCCCUACGGGGGAAAGGUCCGCCGGAGAAAGAGGGGCCCGCGUCUGAUUAGCUAGUUGGUAGGGUAACGGCCUACCAAGGCGACGAUCAGUAGCUGGUCUGAGAGGAUGAUCAGCCACACUGGGACUGAGACACGGCCCAGACUCCUACGGGAGGCAGCAGUGGGGAAUAUUGGACAAUGGGGGCAACCCUGAUCCAGCAAUGCCGCGUGUGUGAUGAAGGCCUUAGGGUUGUAAAGCACUUUCACUGGUGAAGAUGAUGACGGUAACCAGAGAAGAAGCCCCGGCUAACUUCGUGCCAGCAGCCGCGGUAAUACGAAGGGGGCGAGCGUUGUUCGGAAUUACUGGGCGUAAAGGGCGCGUAGGCGGUCUUUUAAGUUAGGCGUGAAAUCCCCGGGCUCAACCUGGGAACUGCGCUUAAGACUGGAAGACUAGAAAACGGAAGA